UACGAAGGGUGCAAGCGUUAAUCGGAAUUACUGGGCGUAAAGGGUGCGUAGGCGGUUUGUUAAGUCUGUUGUGAAAUCCCCGGGCUCAACCUGGGAAUGGCAAUGGAUACUGGCAAGCUAGAGUGUGUCAGAGGAUGGUGGAAUUCCCGGUGUAGCGGUGAAAUGCGUAGAGAUCGGGAGGAACAUCAGUGGCGAAGGCGGCUUCCUGGACUAAAACUGACACUGAGGCACGAAAGCGUGGGUAGCAAACAGG
RNAcentral lists this ribosomal RNA (253 nucleotides) under uncultured bacterium. RNAcentral describes it as "partial 16S ribosomal RNA". It matches the Rfam family "Bacterial small subunit ribosomal RNA", at positions 524 to 776 of the family's 1533-position model. The record is from RNAcentral.